AACGAACGCUGGCGGCAGGCUUAACACAUGCAAGUCGAACGCAUCGCAAGAUGAGUGGCAGACGGGUGAGUAACGCGUGGGAAUCUACCUUUUGCUACGGAAUAGCUCCGGGAAACUGGAAUUAAUACCGUAUGUGCCCUUUGGCGGUGGACGCUGGAGGGGAAAGAUUUAUCGGCAAAGGAUGAGCCCGCGUUGGAUUAGCUAGUUGGUGGGGUAAAGGCCUACCAAGGCGACGAUCCAUAGCUGGUCUGAGAGGAUGAUCAGCCACAUUGGGACUGAGACACGGCCCAAACUCCUACGGGAGGCAGCAGUGGGGAAUAUUGGACAAUGGGCGCAAGCCUGAUCCAGCCAUGCCGCGUGUGUGAUGAAGGCCUUAGGGUUGUAAAGCACUUUCACCGGUGAAGAUAAUGACGGUAACCGGAGAAGAAGCCCCGGCUAACUUCGUGCCAGCCGCCGCGGUAAUAC
This 465-nucleotide ribosomal RNA is filed under the name uncultured bacterium. Its description in RNAcentral is "bacterial SSU rRNA". It matches the Rfam family "Bacterial small subunit ribosomal RNA", at positions 29 to 526 of the family's 1533-position model. The record is from RNAcentral.